Molecule: long non-coding RNA, 2665 nt
Organism: Lathyrus oleraceus (garden pea)
Lineage: Eukaryota; Viridiplantae; Streptophyta; Magnoliopsida; Fabales; Fabaceae
Exons: 2
Source: RefSeq, a predicted model, not a curated record
UAAUCUUUUUACCCUUUUCAUCUCAUGCCUUCUGUAAAUCUUUCUGUUUCCUUGUCACUUUACAAGUGAGAAAACAAGAUUAAGAAUUUGUUAUGCUGGCCUUUGAAAAUCAUAAUCAAAUCACUCAGCAGAUGCUUCAACUUUAGACAAAUGGAAUAAUAAAAGAGACUCUUAGACCCCUUUGAUUUUUUGAUGAUUAACUAGUUUUUAAACACUAUCGGUUGUCUCCUUCCCACUGAACUUGUUACUUUUUAUACUAUAAGUGAAAUCCAGUGAUUGGAUAAUACGUUUGAGAUCUUGAGAUGUUCGGCAGUGGUUCAGUUUGUAUACUCUGUAUGCUUAAUCAUUAUGUUUGAAAAAGUUAAAUUGAUCACCUUGUUGUGCAAUAAAGAGUACUUUUUGUUUCAUCUUUCAUUGGAAUUUGUUUUUGGUGAAUGAAUGGUCAGCUGACCUGCGUCUUUACACACUAAGGUAAAGCCUCUUUGUCUUCAACGAGAUUCUUUUGUAAGCUUUAGCCAUGGUAGAUUUUGAUCAAGACAUUCUGUAGAGAGACUUACUUAAGAUAAAAGAUGGAAAAAAUCAUUCAGCUCAAUGCUGUCAUCAUAAGUCAUAACAAUAUAUAUGUUGAAAUUCAUUUUAGUGAAGCCUCUCUUUGUGAUGAAUGAUGUCAUCAUAACAAUUUAUCUUUUGGGUCAAGCAAAAGAACUGGGCUAGAUAUAGUAAAGGGAUGGGAGAAUUCCAAUUUUUCAAUAUUCAAAAUUUAGGCUAAAAUUGUAGGACUUUACCCCUAAGGGAGUCCUUCCAAAAAUUCUCAAAGGCUUGAGUUGCCUCAAGCCUAAGAGGGGGUUUGGAAAUAGUUUUCAACCAGCAAUAGACGCGCCUCGGUUAGAACCUCACUAGCUGCGUCAUUGCCCCAAGCGCAAAGAUGAUAUUGAAUGUAGAUUAAACUUCUCUUUAUAUAAUUUUAAACUCAUCUAAUUCCUCUCAUAAGCAAUGUGGGACUAAGAAUAUCUGCGGUCAAAUAAAUAAACUCAAACAAAAAGUAUAGGUAGUUGGUUAUUAAAGGUAUGGUGAUAAGGUACAUAAAAAAUUACGGGUAUAUAAAAAUCAUAUCAGAGUAACCUUAUUUCAGUACCUAUAAUCUGUCAUUUACUAGUACUAAACAGUUGUAAGUGAAAGCAUAAAUGAAUAAAUCGGUUGAAUUUCUGCAAUAGACACUGUAAUAUUAAACUAAAAUAGAAUUUUUUUAUUAACGACUUCAGUACAAAUAUUAAGAAAUCAGUGUCAAAUUUAUUUAAGAAACAUUGCUACAAAUAUACACAGUAUAUAUAAAACAAGCCUGUUAUAAUAUUUAUAGAAUUAGUGCCAGCACAAGUGUCUUUAAAAUUAAGAUGAAUACAAAGAUAUAUUUGUUUCCAUAUUGAUGAUGUUUGCAUGCCUAUUAUGUGUUUCUUGCAGAUCUUCAUCUAAUUCAGAAACAAAGAAAGAGGUCUGAACGUGUUAGUUUUGCAAAGCCAGAAACAAAUAUUUAGUAACUUCAAUUGGGAGGGGGCCGCGCGAACGCAGGCCCCCACAGCAACAAAUUAUGAUGUAGGCUCCACCACUUGGGUAGACCUUAGGCUAGCACCCCUCCUAAGUGCAAUGGAGGUCACUUGACUAGGCCAUAGACCUUGAUGAUCAUCCAUUGACCCCAUCCAGGUAAGUAUGUUACAAUGAAUCACACACUUGUUCUUUAUACCUUAUGUUCUGUACUAUUCACUCUAACAAUUCCGAUGUGGUACUUAUUGUGAACAUAUAUUUUGAAAGCGGUAUGUAUUUAUAUGCUGGCAUCACAUGUGAAGAAUUUUACACUAACUCCAUUAGAAUGCAAAUAGAAAAACUUUAUAUAAUAAUAUUGCAGUUAAUGAUUUUUUUUCGCUUCUUAAUCUCAUUUUUCUUUAUGUUUUUCUUGAACAAUUCUGUUUUUCAAAAUUUAAGCUCUAACUCCUUGAAUGCCUAGAGGAUGGAUACCUUGAAGGCUUACAUGAGUUGAAGGGUGCAGUGGUGUUGAAUGUUAUUUAUGUGUUCAUUAUGCAUUUUAUUUGUCUCUUUUCCCAUCUUUUAUGUUGUAUCAGAUAGUACAUUGUUUAGUUUUAGCUCCUUGAAUAUGAGUAUUUGUUUUUGUGCACAUUACAACUAUUCAAUAGUUGCAUCUUUUCUAGAAAUUAAAGUUUUUUAUGCUAAAUAUGCAUUAUUAAUGUUUGACAAUAAGUAAUAUAACAAAGCUGGAAGAAUGAGGAAGAAAGGAAAUGAAAAGAUAUUAGGUGGAAAAAAUGGUAAACAAAAAGUUUCUAAGGAAAGGAAGAAGCCGUAAUGGGUUUGAAUUUACAAAUUGACGACGAAACAGUCGGUGAAGGUUGCAUGUUUGGUGAUGUAUCUGAAAAAAGGACAAGCAGGUUAAAGAAAUUUUGUUUGUAUCGUUUAAAUGAUGAUUUUGUUCGUUAUUGUAGAGGAUUUAUUUUUAGAAGCAAGUAAAAGAAGCAAGGUAUGUGUAGAAGAUUUAUUUUUAAAUUUAGGUUGAAAGACAAUCAGAUGCAUGGUAGCAGAAAUGCAUCAUUGUGUUAGAAAUAAUUUCGAAAAAUGAUUUGAAAUGAUUUCAUAUGAAUGAGAAAGAAGUAUAAAAAUA